RNAcentral lists this unclassified non-coding RNA (1101 nucleotides) under Hevea brasiliensis (rubber tree). Lineage: Eukaryota; Viridiplantae; Streptophyta; Magnoliopsida; Malpighiales; Euphorbiaceae. The record is from RNAcentral.
AUCUCACUUGUAAAGACCAGAGAGAGAAGCUGAUUGAUAUUGUAUCCUCUGUUUUUGAAGGGAAGCUGCAUAUCCUUGUGAACAAUGCUGCAACAGUUAGACACAGAGACUGUGUAGAUAAUACUGAGGAAGACUACUCAAGCAUAAUGAGUACAAAUCUGGAGUCUCCAUACCAUGUUUGUCAACUUGCAUAUCCACUCUUGAAAGAAUCAAGAAAUGGAAGCAUUGUAUUUCUAUCCUCUGUUGCUGGUUCUGUAGCUUUACCAAUGUUAUCUAUAUAUGCAGCGACCAAAGGUUUCGUUGCCUUAUUUAGAUUGAUUGAAUUUUUGAAAUUUAUCACUUAAUUACCAAGCAGAAGUAUCUCUGACGUUUGCUGUUAACAACCCAUUCUUUUUUUCAGCGGCAAUCAACCAAUUAACAAGAAAUUUGGCCUGUGAAUGGGCUAAGGACAACAUUCGCACAAAUGCUGUUGCCCCUUCUGCUACUAGAACCACGAUUUUAACAGAACCUGUAAUAAUUCUUCCCUUUUGAUGCCCUUUUUUAAUGUUAGAAUCUUGUAACUAUGCUAUAUGUGGACGAAAUUAUAGUUAGAAUCUUGCAGGACCAUGUGGGGAUAGCAUAAUUGCAAUAGAAAUGAAGUUCCUCCAGUAAUUAAUUCUAUGCAAGUUUCCUGCAAAGUUUGUCAUCUUUAGAAACACAUAUCAUAUAGGCUUCUACACUAACGUAUUUCCCAAUUUUUUGGUCUAGGAUCCUGCUAUUCUCAAGGCUUAUGCUGGACUAAUGCCUCGUACUCCAAUUGGCCGCAUUGCAGAGCCCUCUGAGGUCUCAUCACUGGUAGCAUUCCUCUGCCUUCCUGCUGCUUCAUAUAUCAAUGGCCAGGUAAUUUGUGUAGAUGGAGGAUUUACAGUCAAGGGUUGUUAACUGAAGCAUGAUUGUCUUUAAGCCACUGCUUCAGUUAGUUUCUAUGUGGACUAGUUCGAAAAUAUUCUGUUUAAUCUGGUAUUCAUAUGUUUGUAGGAUGUAAUAUAUCUUCUAUGCCAUUUUCUGUUAGUUAUAGUUGUUAUCACAGCCAAGAUUAUGAGUUAACAAUUUUUUUUUUCA